UUAGAGAACUGAUUAAAGUCAAUACAGUUCCUUACACAUUCAGAUAAAAUAUUAAAACUCUUGGCGACUUGAUCUUGAUAAAUGUGAGAUACCACCAGUGGGAUUUCAAGCUGCAUAGCUGCGCUGGAACUCAUAGUUCAACUUUGCUUAAAUUGCUUCAAUUGUAAGUAACCUGGCCAUUCAUGAGAAAAAAUUACCCUGUGAACUGACUGCCAUUCAAGCAAUAUAGAUGAUGUUGUUUUUGAAGGAUGCAAGAGGCCUAUGGAAGAGCACAAACGUAUUGUAUGGUACACUUUUAUCCUGUCAUUGCUUUCUCAAGUUAUAGUUGAUCAUUUGAAGUACUCACUUUCCUGUGAGCAUUUUGGAGAGCUUCAACUCGACUGCUAGUGCGAUGUACUUACAAUUUUAGUGAAAAAUUAAAGUUUACAGAAGUUUGUUUUGUUUCAAAAGUUUUUUUCUGACAUGAAUCACAACUGAAUAUUGUGAAUAUUGUGAACAUUUUGGAAAUUUGAAUCAUCAAACUCUUUUAUUUUAUGUGUAGGUGGUUGUCAAUCAGAGAAAAGUCCAUUCAGUGCAAGAUAUGAAGAUGGAAAGCUUUACUUUGAAGGAGAAUGGUUCCACAAAGGUUAUCAUGUACUGAUAGAGAGUAGAAAUGAUACAAAUUCCAGCACUGUUGUUACAUGAAUCAACACCAGAGAGGUG
This is a non-coding RNA of Pocillopora verrucosa, 702 nucleotides long. The record is from RefSeq and is a predicted model, not a curated record. NCBI's taxonomy places the organism in Eukaryota, Metazoa, Cnidaria, Anthozoa, Scleractinia, Pocilloporidae.